GGCGAUAUCGCAGCAAGUGUAGGCCAAGAUUGCGGAGGAGAUUGGCGUGGUGAAGAUGUCCGGCGAAGGAGAUCAGAACCCGGAAGAGAACAAAGCACUCGCGCUGGGUAGGCCAAAGCGAAAGCGAAAACCCGUCCAUUUUUAUGGACCGGCGGAGUUCCGGAAGAGGAGGCUCUUGCGCAUCUCGGAGGGUCUUGGAAUUAAGCUGAGGGACAUCAAGAAGGUGUCUUCAAAUUUGA
This is a long non-coding RNA of Dioscorea cayenensis subsp. rotundata (Guinea yam), 239 nucleotides long. RefSeq lists it as uncharacterized. The record is from RefSeq and is a predicted model, not a curated record. Lineage: Eukaryota; Viridiplantae; Streptophyta; Magnoliopsida; Dioscoreales; Dioscoreaceae. The transcript has 3 exons.